GUUGACCUCAGAUCAGGUAGGAAUACCCGCUGAACUUAAGCAUAUCAAUAAGCGGAGGAAAAGAAACCAACAGGGAUUGCCCUAGUAACGGCGAGUGAAGCGGCAACAGCUCAAAUUUGAAAUCUGGCGCAAGCCCGAGUUGUAAUUUGUAGAGGAUGUUUCUGGCGACGUGCCUUCCGAGUUCCCUGGAACGGGACGCCAUAGAGGGUGAGAGCCCCGUACGGUUGGAUGCCUAGCCUCUGUGAAACUCCUUCGACGAGUCGAGUAGUUUGGGAAUGCUGCUCUAAAUGGGAGGUAUACGUCUUCUAAAGCUAAAUACCGGCCAGAGACCGAUAGCGCACAAGUAGAGUGAUCGAAAGAUGAAAAGCACUUUGAAAAGAGGGUUAAAAAGUACGUGAAAUUGUUGAAAGGGAAGCGUUCAUGACCAGACUUGAGCAGGUUGAUCAUCCGUGGUUCUCCGCGGUGCACUCUGCCUGCUCAGGCCAGCAUCAGUUCGUUCCGGGGGAUAAAGGCUCUGGGAAUGUGGCUCCCUCGGGAGUGUUAUAGCCCACUGCGUAAUACCCUGGGAUGGACUGAGGUUCGCGCUCUGCAAGGAUGCUGGCGUAAUGGUCAUCAACGACCCGUCUUGAAACACGGACCAAGGAGUCGUCUUCGUAUGCGAGUGUUCGGGUGUCAAACCCCUACGCGUAAUGAAAGUGAACGUAGGAGAGAGCUUCGGCGCAUCUCCGACCGAUCCUGAUGUUCUCGGAUGGAUUUGAGUAAGAGCAUACGGGGCCGGACCCGAAAGAAGGUGAACUAUGCCUGUAUAGGGUGAAGCCAGAGGAAACUCUGGUGGAGGCUCGCAGCGGUUCUGACGUGCAAAUCGAUCGUCAAAUAUGGGCAUGGGGGCGAAAGACUAAUCGAACCUUCUAGUAGCUGGUUUCCGCCG
RNAcentral lists this ribosomal RNA (928 nucleotides) under Clonostachys cf. rosea CBS 113336. RNAcentral describes it as "eukaryotic LSU rRNA". It matches the Rfam family "Eukaryotic large subunit ribosomal RNA", at positions 1 to 963 of the family's 3401-position model. The record is from RNAcentral. Lineage: Eukaryota; Fungi; Ascomycota; Sordariomycetes; Hypocreales; Bionectriaceae.